UGCUGGAGGUAUCAGAAGUGCGAAUGCUGACAUAAGUAACGAUAAAGCGGGUGAAAAGCCCGCUCGCCGGAAGACCAAGGGUUCCUGUCCAACGUUAAUCGGGGCAGGGUGAGUCGACCCCUAAGGCGAGGCCGAAAGGCGUAGUCGAUGGGAAACAGGUUAAUAUUCCUGUACUUGGUGUUACUGCGAAGGGGGGACGGAGAAGGCUAUGUUAGCCGGGCGACGGUUGUCCCGGUUUAAGCAUGUAGGCGGAACGAUUAGGUAAAUCCGGUCGUUUAUUAACGCUGAGGUGUGAUGACGAGGCACUACGGUGCUGAAGUAACAAAUGCCCUGCUUCCAGGAAAAGCCUCUAAGCAUCAGGUAACAUCAAAUCGUACCCCAAACCGACACAGGUGGUCAGGUAGAGAAUACCAAGGCGCUUGAGAGAACUCGGGUGAAGGAACUAGGCAAAAUGGUGCCGUAACUUCGGGAGAAGGCACGCUGAUAUGUAGGUGAAGCCCCUGCGGGUGGAGCUGAAAUCAGUCGAAGAUACCAGCUGGCUGCAACUGUUUAUUAAAAACACAGCACUGUGCAAACACGAAAGUGGACGUAUACGGUGUGACGCCUGCCCGGUGCCGGAAGGUUAAUUGAUGGGGUUAGCGGCAACGCGAAGCUCUUGAUCGAAGCCCCGGUAAACGGCGGCCGUAACUAUAACGGUCCUAAGGUAGCGAAAUUCCUUGUCGGGUAAGUUCCGACCUGCACGAAUGGCGUAAUGAUGGCCAGGCUGUCUCCACCCGAGACUCAGUGAAAUUGAACUCGCUGUGAAGAUGCAGUGUACCCGCGGCAAGACGGAAAGACCCCGUGAACCUUUACUAUAGCUUGACACUGAACACUGGUCCUUGAUGUGUAGGAUAGGUGGGAGGCUUUGAAGUGUGGACGCCAGUCUGCAUGGAGCCGUCCUUGAAAUACCACCCUUUAAUGGCUGGUGUUCUAACGUAGACCCGUAAUCCGGGUUGCGGACAGUGUCUGGUGGGUAGUUUGACUGGGGCGGUCUCCUCCCAAAGAGUAACGGAGGAGCACGAAGGUUAGCUAAUCCUGGUCGGACAUCAGGAGGUUAGUGCAAUGGCAUAAGCUAGCUUGACUGCGAGAGUGACGGCUCGAGCAGGUGCGAAAGCAGGUCAUAGUGAUCCGGUGGUUCUGAAUGGAAGGGCCAUCGCUCAACGGAUAAAAGGUACUCCGGGGAUAACAGGCUGAUACCGCCCAAGAGUUCAUAUCGACGGCGGUGUUUGGCACCUCGAUGUCGGCUCAUCACAUCCUGGGGCUGAAGUAGGUCCCAAGGGUAUGGCUGUUCGCCAUUUAAAGUGGUACGCGAGCUGGGUUUAGAACGUCGUGAGACAGUUCGGUCCCUAUCUGCCGUGGGCGCUGGAGAAUUGAGGGGGGCUGCUCCUAGUACGAGAGGACCGGAGUGGACGCAUCACUGGUGUUCGGGUUGUCAUGCCAAUGGCACUGCCCGGUAGCUAAAUGCGGAAAAGAUAAGUGCUGAAAGCAUCUAAGCACGAAACUUGCCCCGAGAUGAGUUCUCCCUGA
RNAcentral lists this ribosomal RNA (1566 nucleotides) under human gut metagenome. Its description in RNAcentral is "bacterial LSU rRNA". It matches the Rfam family "Bacterial large subunit ribosomal RNA", at positions 1271 to 2818 of the family's 2925-position model. The record is from RNAcentral.